Molecule: non-coding RNA, 93 nt
Organism: Nicotiana sylvestris (wood tobacco)
Lineage: Eukaryota; Viridiplantae; Streptophyta; Magnoliopsida; Solanales; Solanaceae
Source: Rfam
UGGCCUAUGAUGAGAUGUAUAUUUAAAAACACCAUCUUUCGGGACUGAAUGGCCCAUAAGUCCUUGCUGUUAAUUUCUGCAAUUCUGAGGCCU